CCUACGGGAGGCAGCAGUGAGGAAUAUUUGUCAAUGGACGAGAGUCUGAACCAGCCAAGUAGCGUGAAGGAUGACUGCCCUAUGAGUUGUAAACUUCUUUUAUAUGGGAAUAAAACGUUCCACGUGUGGGAUUUUGUAUGUACCAUAUGAAUAAGGAUCGGCUAACUCCGUGCCAGCAGCCGCGGUAAUACGGAGGAUCCGAGCGUUAUCCGGAUUUAUUGGGUUUAAAGGGAGCGUAGGUGGAUUGUUAAGUCAGUUGUGAAAGUUUGCGGCUCAACCGUAAAAUUGCAGUUGAAACUGGCAGUCUUGAGUACAGUAGAGGUGGGCGGAAUUCGUGGUGUAGCGGUGAAAUGCUUAGAUAUCACGAAGAACUCCGAUUGCGAAGGCAGUUCACUGGACUGCAACUGACACUGAGGCUCGAAAGUGUGGGUAUCAAACAGGAUUAGAUACCCCUGUAGUC
This 460-nucleotide ribosomal RNA is filed under the name uncultured bacterium. RNAcentral's name for it is "partial 16S ribosomal RNA". It matches the Rfam family "Bacterial small subunit ribosomal RNA", at positions 338 to 795 of the family's 1533-position model. The record is from RNAcentral.